RNAcentral lists this ribosomal RNA (377 nucleotides) under uncultured organism. Its description in RNAcentral is "partial 16S ribosomal RNA". It matches the Rfam family "Bacterial small subunit ribosomal RNA", at positions 527 to 897 of the family's 1533-position model. The record is from RNAcentral.
GUAGGUGGCAAGCGUUGUCCGGAAUUAUUGGGCGUAAAGCGCGCGCAGGCGGUCCUUUAAGUCUGAUGUGAAAGCCCACGGCUCAACCGUGGAGGGUCAUUGGAAACUGGGGGACUUGAGUACAGAAGAGGAAAGCGGAAUUCCAAGUGUAGCGGUGAAAUGCGUAGAGAUUUGGAGGAACACCAGUGGCGAAGGCGGCUUUCUGGUCUGUAACUGACGCUGAGGCGCGAAAGCGUGGGGAGCAAACAGGAUUAGAUACCCUGGUAGUCCACGCCGUAAACGAUGAGUGCUAAGUGUUAGGGGGUUUCCCGCCCCCCUUAGUGCUGCAGCUAACGCAUUAAGCACUCCGCCUGGGGGAGUACGGCCCGCAAGGCUGA